AGAAACCUGGGAAGAAAACACGACAGUUCGCGUCAAUAGUAAGAGAGGUGUUGAGCGGAAGCAGAGCUCUGGAGCGUGAGGACAGACAGUGGCUGUAAUGAUGGACGUGUGCUGAAGGACGGGACUCAUUUUCAAUGAUGCCACCUUCCUU
Long non-coding RNA from Puntigrus tetrazona (Sumatra barb), 151 nucleotides. RefSeq lists it as uncharacterized. The transcript is spliced from 3 exons. The record is from RefSeq and is a predicted model, not a curated record. Lineage: Eukaryota; Metazoa; Chordata; Actinopteri; Cypriniformes; Cyprinidae.